This is a long non-coding RNA of Oncorhynchus kisutch (coho salmon), 4182 nucleotides long. RefSeq lists it as uncharacterized. The transcript has 2 exons. Lineage: Eukaryota; Metazoa; Chordata; Actinopteri; Salmoniformes; Salmonidae. The record is from RefSeq and is a predicted model, not a curated record.
UUACUGAGGAGGAUGGUCCUCCCCUUCCUCCUAUGAGGAGCCUCCACUGGUGUCGAGGAAAUCAUGCGUGUCGUAGAAAAACUAAAUUAAAAAGGAAUUAGUGCAGGUGCAAAAAUAAGUGAACCCCAAGUUGCAUUGGUUAAAUCAAGUAGGUAAGUAGAUUCAGGUGGGUAAAUAAUUGGGUACAAAAUGAACCAAUCAAAGGAGAGAUUGUUAGGAAAGAGUUUGGGUGGGACUCUGAUAAGUAGAGAUAAGAAACGUGGUCAGUUUGGUGUUACCCAUCCAGGUGAAUACAAACCACACCAUGCCGAGAGGAAAGGAGAUCUCAGAGGACAUCAGUCUGGGGAAGGCUAUACAAUCAUCUCAAAUGUAUUUGAGCUCCAUGAGUCCACUGUGAGGCAAAUCAUUUACAAAUAGAGAGCAUUUAACAUGACAGCAACUCGGCUUAGAAGUGGACGCCCUUUCAAAAUAUCCCCAAGAGCCACAAGAACAAUAGUAAAUCAGAGACCACCUUAUCCCAACAGUAAAGCAUGGUGGUGUGAAUGUCAAGAUCUGGAGCUGCUUUUCCUCCUCUGGACCUGGAUGACUCCACAUCAUUAAAGGGAACCAUGAAUUCUGAGGUAUACCAGGAGAUUCUUGAACAGAAUGUCAGGCCAUCAGUAAAGGAGCUAAAGCUGGGCCGAAAAUUGAUCUUCCAACAAGACAAUGACCCAAAGUAUUGAAGCAAAUCUACCAAAGAAGGGCUCAGGAGAAGGACGAUUUGUGUUUUCGGUUGGCCAAGUCAAAGUCCUGACCUAAAUCCAGUCUAGAUGCUGUGGCAGGACCUGAAGCGGGCAGUUCAUGCCAGACACCCCUCAAACUUCACACAAUUGGCUGAGUUCUGUAAGGAGGAGUGGGCAAAAAUCCCUCAAAACAGAUGUCAGAGACUGAAUACUGGCUAUAGGAGACGUUUACUCCAAGUUAUCGCUGCUAAUGGAGGUGUCACAAGCUAUUGACUGAAGGGGUUCACAUAUUUGUGCAAACAUCAAAUCUGAGUUUCUGUUAAAUAAACCACUUUGGUUAAAUAAACAAUGAAAAUAUAUAUAUAUUUUUUGUUUCUGUCAUUAAAGGAUUUUAUGUUUAUUUUAAUAUUCUAUAGCAAAAUAAUUACCAGCCCUGUAGGUUUCACAUACUUUCAAGCAGCACUGUAAAUUGUCAGUAGAAACUAUGUUUGUUUAAGCAAGUCAGCCACAUCAGCUUUUGUUUUAAGGCAGUAAAUGAGGCUGAAUGAACUGUUUCACUGCCAGACUGUUUCACUGCUCUGCUGAUAGCCAGGUGUAGUGAUGGUAAGGUGUUGUGACUGAUGUUGGAACAGGUUUAUGGCCCUAACAGUUUGUUGGCACCAUUUGUCACUGUUAUAGUGCAAUUAAUUUAUUGAUUUGUGUAGUGUAGUGGCUUUGCUGGCAUGCAUCCUAAUUAUAAUUUUUUUGUUUGACCAACCAAGAUUUACAUGCUAAAAUCGCCACUGAUUCCAAGACAGUUUAGGUGUGUUAGUGUUAGGUGAACAAUAAUCUAAUUGUGACUAGGCCAAUUAGUGAAUUGUCUCAAAUCUACUGCGAAACUAUAGCCUACCAUUGAUUGCUGGACUACGAGUGCACACUGAAAAGGGAGGAUAGCUUCUAAAGCUCCAACCAAUAUUUCAGGGACUUCAUCUCAGACACAGGAAGAGCUCAUUAUAGAAUACCCAGUAGCUGGAAAAAUGUACUAAAUAAGCCUCUCAGAUUCUAUUGUUGUUGGAACAUGUUUUCUUAUUCUCAUUUUGUUUAAACUUCUCUCUUAGAGAAAUGCACAAGCCUGAGCUUAAUAGUAAUUUCUCAUCUCCAGAGGGACAAAGACAAUAACAAUGUUGAAAUAUAAUAACCGUAUGUGCCGGAUAAUCUAAUUUGUCUCUUCUACGUCUUUCCCUGAAGGAUGGCCCUGUAUGGUUUUGGACUGGGAAUAGAAGACUAGAGAUAUUCUCCGCUUGUCCCAUUCAGAUGAUGUCACGUCGAGGUCAUGUGACUCUCUCGGGUCUCAUUCUGGCUCACAGGAGUUUGGCUGAAUUGAUACCGACAGGCCGGUUUCCUGGUCAAUUCAAUGCUAAUGUAUUCCCAUUCAACGCCCUCCAUCGCCUUUGUUUCCCUCAACCCCUCCACCCCUCCCUCUGUCCACCCUCCUAAAUUCUUUCCCAUUCGCCAUUGUCUGUUUUCAGUGCCGUUUGCCAUGUCCAUGACCGUGAGAGCCAGUGUUGUACUGAUUUGGCCAUUAGUGAGGUCUUCAGUAAUGGGGCAGCAAGUGCCUGUUUAACCUUUCAUGGCAUGCUUAGGCCUAUAAAAUAUGUGCUUUUAAUAUUUUUCGUAAAGCUGAUAAACUACAGGGCUACAACUUAAAUGUCUUUGGAAGGGAACUGAAUGCGUCUUCCGUAUUUAACCCAACCCCUCUGAAUCAGAGUGGUGCGGGGGUCUGCUGUAAUUGACAUCCUUGUCUUCAGUGCCCUGGGAACAGUGGGUUAACUGCCUUGCUCAGGGGCAGAACGACACAUUUUUACCUUGUCAGCUCGGGGAUUCGAUCAAGCAAUCUUUCAGUUACUGGCCCAACACUCUAACCACUAGGCUACCUGCCGCCCCAGUGUACCGUGCAUUGUGUAAUACAUAUACUACCGUUCAAAAGUUUGGGGUCACUUAGAAAUGUUCUUGUUUUAGAAAGAAAAGCAAUUUUUUUUGUCCAUUAAAAUAACAUCAAAUUGAUCAGAAAUACAGUGUAGACAUUGUUAAUGUUGUAAAUGACUAUUGUAUCCCGGAGUCGCAUCUUCACUGUUGACGUUGAGAUUGGUGUUUUGCGGGUACUAUUGACAACAUUAACAAUGUCUACACUGUAUUUCUUAUCAAUUCGAUGUUAUUUUGAUGGAGAAAAUUAUGUGCUUUUCUUUCAAAAACAAGGACAUUUCUAAGUGACCCCAAACUUUUGAACAGUAGUGUAGGUGCAUAUGAUAUCAGAUUUAACUAAUGGAGCUAGUGAGCUGAAGAGAGGUUGUGUCAAUAAUUGAUUGCUUUUCAAUUAGAUUAUGAGUGCAGUGUCAGCCUGAAACUUUCUGUCAUGGCAUAUGCUAUCUGAUCCAACACCUUCUCAAAAACGUUCUCUUUGUGUAGCCACACAUUCACAUGAUGCCCAAUGUAAUUCAUACAUUCAGUAUUUCCAUAUAUUGUGCUACCACAUAGUUGAGCGCGACUUUUGACGGCAGGUAGCUUAGUGAUUUUAAGGGCUUUGGGCCAGUAACCGAAAGGUCGUUGGUUAGAGUCCCUGAGUCGACUAGGUGAAACAUCUGUCUGUGCCCUUGAGCAAAGCUCCUGUAAGUCGCUCAGGAUAAGAGCGUUUGCUAAAUGACUAAAAUGUAAAGGUUGUAACUCACUGAAUGCACUCAACCACUUUUUAACAUGAUCAUUUAUAACCCAAAUAAUGUUGUUCUUUCUGGUAUUGGAAGUCAGUAUUUGCAUUAUAUAAAAGUUGUAUCUACACUACAUUCUAUCAACAUUACAGAAUGUUCUCAUGGAGUUGUAAUGAACUGAAUGUCAGUGGAUAAAUGAAGGCUUUGGACACAGCUAUAGUAAUAGAACCGUAGCCAGGAGACUGGUCCGUCUGGGACCAAAGUCUGGAGGACCUCGCAGUGUGUGGUGAAGUUCGGGGUCACAUGUUGCACAAUUGGAGUCUUUACAAAACAAGAACCAUGGAAACCAAAGGGUUAGGGUGUAAUUUGUCACUGUCAUGUCAGUAGAUUUAGUUAAAUCUGUAUGGACACAGAGGAGUGUGGGGGAAAUAUGGCUAUAGCUUUAUACAGUAUGAUAAUCCUCCUCGUCGCUUAAAUCUAUCCAUGUGAGUUUAGACCGAGACCCCCGAGAGUGUUGAAAUAAUGCUGAAAUUGACAUUUAUCCUCUGGCCCUUGGAGAUAUUCUCAUUUUAAUCCGUUCUGAUAUAGUGUCUGACGGUUUUAGGAUUUGUCUCGUUGUCAAUCAUCUCUGAAGCAAUACUCUCAGUCCAACCAAGGAGUGUGAAUCUGUGUAGCAUAAUGUAUGUCUAUCCCCCAAAAGCCACCCUAUUCCUUACACAUAGUGCACUACUUUUGACCAGAGGUCAAUGAGCCCAUGGUGAAAAGUAGUGCACUAUAUA